RNAcentral lists this ribosomal RNA (497 nucleotides) under uncultured bacterium. RNAcentral describes it as "partial 16S ribosomal RNA". It matches the Rfam family "Bacterial small subunit ribosomal RNA", at positions 28 to 507 of the family's 1533-position model. The record is from RNAcentral.
GAUGAACGCUGGCGGCGUGCCUAAUACAUGCAAGUCGAACGAACAGACGCGGAGCUUGCUCGUCUGACGUGAGCCGCGGACGGGAGAAUAACGUGUGUAUAACCUACCUAUAAGACUGAGAUAAUUACGGGACACCGGAUCUUAUACCGGAGAAUAUAUUGCACCACAGUGUGCGAUAGUGAGAUUCGGUGUUUGUGUCACUAAUAGCGGCUUCCGCGCCGGAUUAGCUAGUUGUUAGGGUAACGGCUUACCAAGGCAACGAUGCGUAGCCGACCUGAGAGGGUGGUCGCCGACACUGGAAGGGAGACGGGGACAAGACGCCUGCGGGACGACGCAGUAGGGAAUCUUACGCAAUGGUGGAGAGCCUGACGGAGCAAGGCCGCGUGAGUGAUGAAGGUCCUCGGAUCGGAAAACUCUGUUAUGAGGGGAGAACAAAUGUGUCCGUAACCAUGGCCGUAUUGACGGUACCUGGUCAGAAAGCCCCGGCUAACUACGUG